UACGUAGGCAGCAAGCGUUGUUCGGAGUUACUGGGCGUAAAGGGUGUGUAGGCGGUUGUUUAAGUUUGGUGUGAAAUCUCCCGGCUCAACUGGGAGGGUGCGCCGAAUACUGAAUGACUAGAGUGUGGGAGAGGUGAGUGGAAUUCCUGGUGUAGCGGUGAAAUGCGUAGAUAUCAGGGGGAACACCGGUGGUGUAGACGGCUCACUGGACCAUAACUGACGCUGAGACACGAAAGCGUGGGUAGCAAACAGG
This 253-nucleotide ribosomal RNA is filed under the name uncultured bacterium. RNAcentral describes it as "partial 16S ribosomal RNA". It matches the Rfam family "Bacterial small subunit ribosomal RNA", at positions 524 to 776 of the family's 1533-position model. The record is from RNAcentral.